AGACUGAAAGAGUUUGAAUAUUGUAGAUUUCAUUAAAAUCUUUAUUUAGCCAAGACCGCAAUGUAGAAAGAAAUGAUAGAUUACUUAUUUCAAUCGAUUACAUCGUAAUGUUUCGAUCUGGAAAUCGUUAGAAAAUGUCACACGACAGAAGAAUUACGGAAUGCAGCAGCGUUAAAUAAAAUAACUAAUUGGCUUUUCUUUAAGGAUGUUAAAGCGAUGUUGACGAAGAGUCUAAGACGACGAAGUCAGCGUUUCUCCGAUAAUUCUGCAGAUGCUGCUUGGUGCACGAUGGUAUUGCUCCCUUAGCGCAACUCUGCAGUUUACGUGGUGCAAUCAAAGGACAAAUGUACGACAGAGCUGUGAGACUGUCCACGGAAUUGAAAUCCAAGUUGCCGGCUCAGCCUGAAGGAGGUGACUAAUCUACGAGUGAUUGAAGACCAGGUGGCUGGCCUCCUGACUGAAGAGGUCUACCGUUUUCAGAGGAACAGCACGAUGGAAGAGCGUCAGAACAUACAUCUUUUGUUCACAGCAAAAACAGGCGGAAGCAAGUCAUCCUGUUUUAUAGCAUUUUCUGAUUACUUCACGACAUAUAAUAAAUUAGAUCCGCUUUUCAUAUAGGCGAGAAACUGACUGCAAAAAUUAGUAUUUAAGAACAUUGGUUUUGGCUGUAUUUAUCUUUCUGUUAUUCUUGUAAUAGUUUUACUCUUACGUAAUAAAAAUGUGGAUCCAUGUCGACAA
This is a long non-coding RNA of Schistocerca nitens (vagrant locust), 738 nucleotides long. RefSeq lists it as uncharacterized. The record is from RefSeq and is a predicted model, not a curated record. The transcript is spliced from 3 exons. NCBI's taxonomy places the organism in Eukaryota, Metazoa, Arthropoda, Insecta, Orthoptera, Acrididae.